Molecule: long non-coding RNA, 2366 nt
Filed under: Cricetulus griseus (Chinese hamster)
Lineage: Eukaryota; Metazoa; Chordata; Mammalia; Rodentia; Cricetidae
Description: lncRNA (ENSCGRG00015029633.1)
Source: RNAcentral
CCUUGUUUUCCUCCAUUUUUGUUUCAUUUCAGUGUGUGUGUUGACUUUGAUGGCACAUGACUUUUAAGCAUUAGGAUUUUUGCCAAGCAGAAUUUUUGAAGCCUUGAGGCCUGUGACCCAAGCACAGGUGCAGGCAUGCCUGGAAGGCUUCAGGCUGAAACCAGCAGUUCCCUGCUUUCUGGGUCUGUCUGCAGAGUUCACUGCAGUUUCAGACCUUGAUGAGUGCUCUAGUCAGGAAGCCGGUCCCCAGACAGUAGUCUGUUUUGGCAGGACUUCAGGAGUUAAUCAUUCCUUAGGCCUCCCUUGGCCCCUUUACCUGCGUUCUUAGGUGGGAAUGAAUUAGACACUUGGAAGGCUGUUGGGUCAAGGUUCUGGGCACAGGGCAGGGUGCUCCUGUCUUUACUAAGUGUACUGCUAGUGGAGUUUUCGCCAUGUCAUUUCUACCUCCAAAGUGAGGCUCCAGAGUUCGUCGUCAGAGCCUGCUCUUCCACAUCUGGUCCAAGCAGGAGUACAAGGAAGUCCACUUCUACACCCGUGAGCACAAACACGUCUGUAUUCGUCAUUUAGUCCAACCCAUUACAGGCAUUCCUGGAACAGAGCUCGCUGUGGAGUAGCAAGGAGCAAGACCGGAGCUAUCGUUAGCAGGGAAGCUUGCUCUGCCCGGCUGCUGGGGGACCUACUUGCCUCCAGCUUGGUUGAGGUCCGUGUUCUGACUUUCUGCACCCUUGUGCUAGACGAUGCGUGUUAUUACACAAAAGUGGGCCGCCUGUGGCAUCAAGACUGCAACUCGACAAUCAUGGUUUGCUGAUCUCAAACGGGCACUUAAAUCUCAGUGUGGGUGUGUGAUUUUAGUGACUGAGCCCGUCCUUCUAUUUGUCAGUUACGUUUCUACCCUUCAAUUAGCUGCACUGUUUUCUAAUGUGCUGUAGAGUUUGGAAAUAAUUUAUGCAGUGUUUGGUUCCCAUGUUUACAAAUUUUUACAGCUUUCCUAGCAUUUUAAAUGGAAAUGUCAAUAAAUGCUACGAAUUGGUGUCGAACUGAUACUUUCUGGGUUAUUCCUUUGCAACACAGUUGUUUUGUAGUUUGUUAAGGGUGGUUACCUGUGCUGAGGUGACCUUUGAGUGCAUGCUGAGAAGAACAUCUAGUGUGGUUAAGUCAGCAGCGUCCCACUGAGCGGAGCUGGCAGAAGUGUCUCCACUUGCAUGGCUGGUGCCUACUUUACUGCUGCCCGAUGGCCCUGCUGGCACACCCUUGAGCAGAGGCAGCCGAUGAAAAGGAUGCUUUGGCUUAAAAUGCAAAUGAAAAGAGCGGAGUUCACUCCACCUUGAAAAGAGAAUAGGGCAAACUAGGGGUUGUUUUGGAAACCCAAGAAAAUGAAGCUCCUUGGCAACUCAAGGAAGCAGAACAAUUCACAAAAUCAACAAAAAAAAAACAUGGAAUCUGGGUAAUUCUUGGGUCCCCAAACAUGGAAACGCUGAUGAGAUCCAGUCUGUAUACAGAUUGGGUUUUGUGUUUUGCCAGUUUUGUAUAAAAGGUCUCACUAAUAGGGGGAGCUCUAGAAAAGAUAUAGAAACCCUCUCUGUCGAUUUACAACUUUAUAUAUAAAUAUGCAGAAAAAUUAAUCUGGUCAGGUAGAGCCCACAGGGUAUUGUCACGGCUGUUGCAGUCCUACCUUGGGAUGCUCAUCUCGGACCUGCCACGCUUCUUUGAGGGCAUGGCCCCUACUCAUGGUGAAGGCAGAGCUACCAGUUUCAAGGCUCAAGCAAAUAGCUCAUCUAGGGGAAUUCAGCCAAGUACAGUGGCUUACACCUGUAAUCCUGGCACUGUGGUGACUGAGGCUGGAGGACCGUGAGUUUAAGGCCAAUGCAGUCAACAUAGUGAGAUCCUGUCUCAAAAGUUCAGAGGGUUAUCAUAGCUGAGCGUAGCAUGCUUGGGGCUUUUGGUUCAAUUCUUAGUACCACCAAAGUAAUAAUAAUAAUAGAAACAGUAAUAAUAAUAACAACCAAAAGGAAAUCUUAAAACUCAGAUAGAUCUAAACAUUGAAAACAAAGAAAAAAAUCUUACUGCUGGGCCAGGGGAUGGCUCAGCACUUCUGUAAAGGUGCUGUGUAAGCCUAAAAACUCAAGAUCAGUCCCAGAAGUUGAGGAAGAAAGCUGGAGUCGGGGACCCACAUAUCUCUGAUCCCAGCACUCCUGCAUCCAGAUACGACAGUCACCCUGAAGCUCUUAGAGCUGAGUGUGUAGCACAGCAGCAACAGUCCUGGCCUCAGCAAGCAGGUUUCCACAGGUGUGGCACGGCCAAGUGUGUGCCUGUAUUCGCACAUUCCCCCCACCCACCCAUAAGAUGAUUAACUUUAAAAAAUUUAA